Alligator mississippiensis (American alligator) is the source of this 427-nucleotide long non-coding RNA. RefSeq lists it as uncharacterized. The record is from RefSeq and is a predicted model, not a curated record. Lineage: Eukaryota; Metazoa; Chordata; Crocodylia; Alligatoridae. The transcript has 3 exons.
UUAUUUUGUGUGUUAUCCUUAACCCCUCCCUCUCAUUGCUCAGCUGAUCAAGUGUGGGUUUGAGUGAGGCACGGCUUUCAAAAUAUAUUAUUUUAAAUAUACACGGGUGGGAAAAUGGCUGAGCAAGAGCAAACCUGUAGCGUGCAACAAGUGGUAGUUCAUUAGUCCUUGGUAAUUUUUUUCCCACCUGUAAUGUAUAUUCUCGCCGUGUACCCACCACUCGUGCCCCCCGCCUGCUGUGCCCACCAGGUUCAUAGCUGCCCAGCACUGCAGCAUCAACAGAAUGAACCAUGAUGACUAGUUAAGGUAGACGCUGCCUGCCAGACUGUCCCCCCAGACAGACUAUGAAGCAUCCCUGGUGAUAUAUAGAACACUAUGGACAUCAGAGAUAGAAAAGUUUCAGUAUUGACACUAUCAAGAAACCAGC